Long non-coding RNA from Raphanus sativus (radish), 6632 nucleotides. RefSeq lists it as uncharacterized. The record is from RefSeq and is a predicted model, not a curated record. The transcript has 2 exons. NCBI's taxonomy places the organism in Eukaryota, Viridiplantae, Streptophyta, Magnoliopsida, Brassicales, Brassicaceae.
AAUCGGAUCUGACCAGAUUCUUCGAGCCUAAAAGCUGACUCUCAUCGUCUUCUGCCUUCCUUAAGCCUCACUGCCUCUCCACGUGACACGAAACUUGCCUCCGUCCUCCGUUAGAAGAGCGCCAGAGAGUGUUUACGACCGCCGCAAAGAAUAAGCAUAUCGACUUUGGGUGUAGACGAAGAGGAAAAGAGCAAAAUAAAAUGAGAGAAAAGGGGAAGAGAGCGUCCGGCGCCAGGAAGCGGCUGCCGGAACAAAAAAUUCUUCAGGCGGCUAGGGUUUUUUAAAGAGAGUUUCUGAGAGAAACGAGAGGAAAAAAGUUUCUUAGAGAAACGAGAGAAAAAGAGUUAGUGACGUUUGUUUCAUUUUCCUAUUUUUUUAUUUGAACGAAACUGUUUGUAUAACCAGAUAAAUAAAAAAUAAAAUUUUGUUUAUUCUCAACUUUCUCGUAUCUUGAAUUUAAACCACUUUUCCAAAUACAAGAACCUAAUUUUUCGAUUGAUUCUAAUAUGAUAUGUCCUACAAGGACCCAAAUAAAAAAUAUCAAUCGACCAGGAACAGUUAACAGAUUCGUCGGAAUAGCAGUGUGGACCCAACGAGAGAUGGAAGAGGAAGAGGAGAGAUGGAGGAGGAGAUGGUUGGAAGAAGAAGAAAAGAGCGAGAGCUGUGACUUCUAUGACACAAGGAGAGAUAAAGGAGGAGAUGGUGGAAAGAGAGGGAAGGACCGUAUUAGGGAAGAGAGAGACAUGAAGAUUAAAACUUUCUUCAGUUUCUUCUCUGCCAUUUUUCACUAAAAAGGUGAAGUAAAAAAAGAAAACGAAUUGGUGUUAAUGGGGACCAUUUGUGCUAUCUAGUUAGUGGGGGACCAAACUCAUUUACGUUUAUGAUAAGUGUAUAGAAUUUUUUUUUUUUAAACCAUUAGAUAUGAGGAUGCAACUAGAUCGUGUGGUUAGAGUUACUUGCACUUUUUUAGUAUUACCUUAUCAAUUCCUUCUAUUUCUGUAUAUUAUAGAUUUUAACAUAUUAAAGAAUAUAAAUAAAUAAAUUUGAUAUCAUAAAUUAUAGAUUUUUGUUCUCUACAUUUUAAGAUCUAUUUUCGUAUAUUUUUGCAAUCUUAAUAUGAAAAAAACAUAUCAACAAAAAAAAUUGUGGAAUAAGUGUUCGUGGACAAAUAAAAUAUGGACAUAGAUAUUGUGUGUAUAGAAAAAAAUGUGGACAUGAACUCAGUAAAUGCAUACAAAAAAUAGACAUGAUUUAGUGUUGAUUUAAGAAAUGUGGUCUCAUAUUAACUAAGAUCGUAUUUUAAUGUUUUUGUUAGUGGAUGAGAUCUAUUUUUUAAAUGAUUGGUUAUUUAUUUUAUUAUUGUUUAUACCACCUAAUGUUUUCAAUUGAUUGUAUUUCAAAUUUUAAUAGUUAUAAAAUAAAUAUAAUUAUUACAAUAAUUUAUAUAUAAAAAUUUAUAUUUUUGACAUCUAUUUAUAUUAUAUAUAUUAUAUAAUAUAAUCGUCCACGUCCACAGAUUUAGUUCAUGUCCAUGCCACAAUUGUCUUUUGUAAAUGUUGAUAUAUAUAUAUAGGCGCAUGUAGAUAAAAAUUUGUAGACGAAAUUUUUUUCAUUACUUGAAAGAGAAAACAAAGGUUUGGAGACAACGACUCAAACCAGAUAAAAGACAAAACAUGAAAAAGACACAGACCACUACGUGUCAACAGCAUCAACUCUCGAGCUUUAUGACCUCGUUAGACUCUCUUCUACGAUCCUGUCACGUAGCCAACAAAAACUUUCAGAAGCUAUACGAUUGGUAACCGUGUUGGUAUGUGACAGUAUCUGCAAUUUAGAAAAUAUUUGAUUUUCCAAUAAAUAGGUAAUAGUUUUGAAAUCAGUUAGUUCUCUGGUUAGACUAGUGAAAUUUAGAUAGUAAUUGGUUAGUUCUCUAGUUAGAGUUAGAAGGGAACGAUUGUAAUUUGGUCUGGUUUGAAGGCAUGAAGGACAAUGCAUAACAAUAAAGUGCCUCACCAACAACAAGUGUUUAUAUGUGUAAUUCAUAAGUCAUAAUGUGUUCCGGAAAGUAAAAAAAUCUAAAAAUUACUGAUUCUGCUUAUAGACCAAAGAAGUAUUAUUUUAGUCGAGAAUUCCACCCUUUUAGAAAAAGGCUAAGUCGAAGAAGCACACUUACUGUUCGACGAAAAGCCUGACAGAGACGUAGUUGUCGGACCAAUUAAUUAUAAGCCCAAUGGGCUGAGUAAUAAUUGGGUAUGUGAAUAAAAAAUCGUUUGCAAGCCCAAUAGGCUGAGUAAAAGAUUGAUUUUAUGUGAAUGAUUAUGGGGAAUAUUAGACUCAUUCUGCAAGCCAAAGAGCUGAGUAAAAUUGAUGUUUGGGCUUUUAUUUUUUUUUUAAAAAUUGAGAAGCUUGAUGGCCAAGUUAAGCCAAAUUGGUGGCCAAGUUAAGCCAAGUUAAGACAACUUGGUUACCAAGUUUGGUUAACUUGGUGAUCAAGCCAAAUUCUCACUAUAUAUACACCAUGAUCUCUCCAUAAUCUAACAUAGAUUGAUAUCUCUCAUCACACACAAAAGACACCACUUUCUCUCACUAGAAAAAAAAAUACUCUUUAGACUUUUUCUUUAAAGUAUGUGUCUCGAGAGUAUAUCGUAGUAGUUAAGUUCGUAGAUUCUGUUUCGGGUGUUGCGAAACGGUCUCAUCACGGUUGUAUCCCGGGAUUCAAAAAUCGCAUAAAAACCGUCACAAAUUACAGGCGAUUUAUUGAGUUAAGGAAAGAGAUCAAAUCUCGACUCCGUGAAUUCGUCUAUUUCCUUACGAUUUCUUAAACGUUAAUUUCAGUCUUUUUAUUAUUGUGUAUAUGUUUUUUGUUUCGUAAUUUUCAAUCAGGAUUCUUGCGGUCCUACAUUCUUAACUCAAUAAAUCCGCUUCAUGCUUAUCGCUUGAAUACAAUCUUAACUCAAUAAAUCUGCUUCCUGCUUAUCGUUUGCUUCGGAUUGAAUAUUGCGAACAAUAUUAAAAAAAAAACGAUUUUAUAAAAUGUUUCUAAAUCGAUCUGAAACAGUUCUAAGAACGCUCUUUAUCUAUUCUUCAGAACGUUUUGGUACAAAAGAUAUAUCAUCUUUAGAAAAUGAUUUACGUGACAUUCAUUGAAAGGUUCACGAUCUCAUUUUCUAAAAAAAAAUUAAAAAAUAGUGUUUAAGAUAGCCUUAUGACGAAAUCUGAAAAAAACUAUUAAAAAUUCAAGAACGCUUUUAUGCGAUUCUGAGGACACAUAUUAAAAGUUCAAGAACGCUUUAAAUCGAUUAUGAGGACAAAUAUUAGAAGUUCAAGAACCCUUUUUAUGCGAUUCUGAGAACUACUAUUAAAAAGUUUAAGAAUGCCUUAUAGGUGAUUUCUGUGGACGACUAUGUGAUUCCUGAGAAUGCUUAUUGUAAGCGAAUUAAUAUUUUUAAUCACUUAUUUUGAGUUCUCAAUAAUUACUGUGGUUUGUGUUUUUGUGAAUAGAUUCCACGAUGACUAAUAAUCUCUCUGACAUUAAGUCAAUCAAUGAGUUACAAAUUUAAACUCUUAACAUAAGUAUUGUAUUAUGAAUAAAUAUAAGAAGAUUGAGUCCAUAAUAUUUGGAUAAAUCUAUAAGAUUGAGUCCACAAUAUCUAGAUAAAUUUAAGUCUAAUGAUUGAGUCUAAAUAAUUUUUAAUGGAUAAAUCUGAAAGACGAUGUCCAAAUAAUUAAACAAAAAAUUUCUUUUGAAUAUAUCUAAAUCUAAGAAUAUAUCUAAAUCUAAGGAUUAAAGAUUGCAUUCAAAUAAUUAUGGAAUAUUUUGUUAAGACCAGUGAGACGAUAACCCUAAUUGGAAAUGUUCAUCCACUUGGAUUGAUUUGUCUAUACCUAGUAAAACCACUAUAUAAUGAGUUAAAUACUUCCAUGAAACUUUAAGUUUUGAUAUGGAGAAAUCAAGGCUAAAGAACACAAGCUCGAGAAGUUUGCAAUGACAAACAAUCUAAGCAAAGAGUUGUGAUUCUUCAUGCAUGAGAUAAAGACUGCAUGUAUGACAAUUUAUUUGCAUACUAGGUCUAUCGUUAAAAGUGGAAAAUUUCAUAAAAACUAUCUCUCAUAAGCAAAGGCUGAGAGACGAUGUCCAAAUAAAACAAGAGUGAUUGGAACUAGGAAAGCCAAAAAUAUAUAAAUCACAAAGCAUAUGUCAUCACAAUUGUGAACAUAAAACAAGAGUGAUUGGAACUAGGAAAGCCUAAAGUUCGUAUUAAAUUAUGCAUUAGCUUUAGAAAGCAACAUGUUUAAAAGAAAGUUUCAAAAAGCUGACACACUUCGCAGCAGGGCUGACGAAUGUUGUAGCAAUAUUAUUUUACAUAGAGAAAAAGUGAAAUCUCAAACCAAUUUGAUAAAAACUGACACAUGAAGUGUACUUUUGGGUCAAUGUUCCAUAAUAUAAUGGAAUAUAUAUGGCAACUUAAAUGAGAAUUAAUGUGUUCUUAAGAGAAUUAACAUUGUUCCUCAUAAGAAUUGCUCCUUUAUUCACUAGAAUCCAAUGAAUUUGCGGAACAAAAGUUCUAAACUUUUAACGGAUGAACGCAAGCAUGCAUGAUUCUGAGUUAUCUCAGGAAAUGUUGGGGGGGGGAGCGUUGCUAAUUACCAAAUUAAAAUAUUGGCAAGAGGCCAUGUACUUUGAAAAGGUAAUGUACAUUCAUACAAAUACUUCAAAGUGUGGGGGCGUAAGCAAAAGUCGUUGUACUAACUCCUAAAAUGUGGAGGUGCUUAGCAAAAUCUUGAAUAACUUCUAAAUAAACGUUAUUGGCUAGGUUCACCAUGUAAUCUGAGUUCAUUGUUUUAGACAAAGAAGCUGAAACAGCAGAGUGUCUACAUAAUUUUGGAAGAUAUUAAUAUGUCAGAGAAACCAGUCCGGUUCUACGCUUAAUCAAUCGGCUAUAGCUCGAGCACUGGAUAUUCUCUAUAAUGGUAAGUCACAUCAAACAAAAUAGGUUAAAGCACUGAAACCUACCCAUACUCCAAGAUGAUAACAGUGCUUUUGUAAAUGUAAGGUUAAGCAUUGACUUUUAAUGAGAUAAGACUAUGGUCUUCAUAUACAUGUAUAUAAAGUAUUACAGGUUAUUCUAUUGUGUAUAUGAAAGGUACACAUGGCAAUCACCUAGUGAGUGUAAAAUUAGGCCGAUUCUAGGAGAAUGAAGUUUAGGCUAUACUCUCCAAGUUCACUCAUGACCUACCAGGCAAGUUCACGGCCAAAGUGAACACAAUAGAGAACUUAACUCUAUGAGAAAACGCAUUUGUGUUAUAUCUGCUUUCUCGGUUUACAUAAACUUUCGGGGGGUUCAAGACAUCAUGUUCACCACCUGAAAAGUAAAUCCGGCAGAUACUAACAGUGAGUAGUUCAAGGCUGAAAUACGCUACUACAUCAUAUACAGCUUCAGGUAUCUCUGCAAAUAUCAUGUGGGAUCUAUCUAGUGUAGUGUUUAGAGUAAAUUAUAUUCAUGUGGGGGAUUGUAGGAACAAUUUAUUAUAAACCCAAUGGACUGAGUAAUAAUUGGGUUUGUGAACAAAAAUUUUUUGGCAAGCCCAAGAGGCUGAGUAAGAGAUUGAUUUUAUGUGAAUGAUUAUGGGGAGUAUUAGACUCAUUUUACAAGCCAAAGAGCUGAGUAAAAUUGAUGUUUGGGCUUUUAAUUUUUAAAAAAAUAUUUUGAGAAACUUGGUGGCCAAGUUUAGCCAAUUGGUGGCCAAGUUAAGCCAAAUUAGUGGCCAAGUUAAGACAACUUGGUUACCAAGUUUGGUUAACUUGGUGAUCAAGCCAAAUUUUCACUAUAUAUACACCAUGAUCUCUCCAUAAUCUAACAUAGAUUGAUCUCUCUCAUCACACACAAAAGACACCACUUUCUCUCACUAGAAAAAGAAAAAAAAAUACUCUUUAGAUUUUUUUUUCUUUAAAGUAUGUGUCUCGAGAGUAUAUCGUAGUAGUUAAGUUCGUAGAUUCUGUUUCGGGUGUUGCGAAACAGUUUCAUCACGGUUGUAUCAUGGGAUUCAAAAAUCGCAUAAAAACCGUUUUUUUUUCGAUUUAUUGAGUUAAGGAAAAAUAUCAAAUCUCGACUCCAUGAAUUAGUCUAUUUUCUUACGAUUUCUUAAAACGUUUUCAGUCUUUUUAUUACUGUGUAUAUGUUUUUUGCUUUGUAAUUUUCAAUCAAGAUUAUCGCGGUCCUAGGUGGCUUGGACCGCAAUGAUUAAAGGUUACACCUCUUCUAAUCACAACGCAUGCGCUUGGCAGUGUUUUCGUGGAUGCUCCAGGCAAGAAACAAGACCAAAUGAGUUCACACUCUCGAGUGUUGUAGAAACCACAAGGUUUGGCUUAUUGGGUUGUUAUUAAACUCUGCAUGGAAGGUUCUGUCGACGUCGACAAUGCCUUAAUGAAUGUGUACGCUACUUGUUCCGCAAAAAGGGACACUGCUUAUGUGCUAUGUAUGCGUCUAUCCAUUGUGUUUAUGUUUCCCGCAUAGCUUUUGAUGCAGCGUUAUAUAUAUUAAUACAUCUAUGGUGCAGACAAUCGUAAUGUGUCAUAUUUAUUGUUACAUUUUCCUGGUUGCGUCUCAAGUUAUAUAUACUAUUCAUAUCUUCAA